Molecule: ribosomal RNA, 488 nt
Filed under: uncultured bacterium
Lineage: Bacteria
Description: partial 16S ribosomal RNA
Rfam family: Bacterial small subunit ribosomal RNA
Source: RNAcentral
UAGGGAAUCUUCCACAAUGGACGCAAGUCUGAUGGAGCAACGCCGCGUGAGUGAAGAAGGUCUUCGGAUCGUAAAGCUCUGUUGUUGGUGAAGAAGGAUAGAGGCAGUAACUGGUCUUUAUUUGACGGUAAUCAACCAGAAAGUCACGGCUAACUACGUGCCAGCAGCCGCGGUAAUACGUAGGUGGCAAGCGUUGUCCGGAUUUAUUGGGCGUAAAGCGAGCGCAGGCGGAAUGAUAAGUCUGAUGUGAAAGCCCACGGCUCAACCGUGGAACUGCAUCGGAAACUGUCAUUCUUGAGUGCAGAAGAGGAGAGUGGAACUCCAUGUGUAGCGGUGGAAUGCGUAGAUAUAUGGAAGAACACCAGUGGCGAAGGCGGCUCUCUGGUCUGCAACUGACGCUGAGGCUCGAAAGCAUGGGUAGCGAACAGGAUUAGAUACCCUGGUGAGUCCAUGCCGUAAACGAUGAGCAGCUAGGUGUUGGGGCACUU